CCAGAAGUCACAUCGGAGGCACUGUGGUAUGGGUGCUGAGCACCCGCAACAAUUUUUUGUGGGUGCCCAGGCCCCCAGGGCCCCCUGGAGUUGGCUCCAGUGUUCAGAAGGGAGAGGAGGGAUGGCCUCAACACGCAGGUGCCAUUUUCAGCAGCAAUCCCUUGUAGAUCACCACAUGGUACUCUAGAGAUUUUCCAGAGCAGUUUGUGGAGUGGUAGUGGAGGGUCUACUGUUCAAAGGGAAGCAAGUCAAACAUCCCACUUGGACAACCUACCCCCCCCCGAAAGACCUUUGCCUUGGAAGGUGUGUUAGCUACAUGGACAGAAUGUGCCCCUGAGCAGGUUGGGUCUCAGUUUCAGCUCUUUGUCUGAAUGUGGGCAUAACUUCUCCUUUGCUAAAAAUGAUAAGGAGCAAAUGAAUAUAUACCAGUAUGCUGUGUUACUGCUUAGCUUAACACAAUACUCUGACACAGCAGUUAAGUCUUUUCUUUGAAAUGAAAUUUAGUGCCUUGUGAACGUAACAGCAGAAGUCACUUCAAUUUUGUUUUUAAACCCUUUUAAUAAAAUGAAACUUUUAAGUCCAUAUGCUGACUUCCAAGUCCCAGCGCUGCAUUUCAAGCAGGGCUAAUGAAAUGGUAUAAUAAAUCAGGCAACCUUUUACAGUUGGAAUGAAGAUACAUACACACCCACACAUCUAUGAAUUCUUUUUUUAAAAAAAAUAAGUGUCUUUUUAUUGAAGUUUUCAAUAUUUACAACCAAAUAGCCCACCUCCACUACAAAACCCAGGAUGCAACAGGGUGCAAACAAUAAUAUAUAUGUCUUAAAUUCCUUUCCAGAUUAUACAAAAACAAGAAAAAGGAGACAUUACAAUAUCAAAACUGAACCAACAAAAAACCCUGCAAGUGGUGGGGUUUCCCGCUUCAUUUACUGUAGAUAUCAUGUAAGCAAUACUGUAAAGCUAUUCAUGGCAAAUGUGUCCUUACAUCUCUCACACACACCCUUUCACAGUUUUCAUUAAGCUUUUAAUUUAGGGCAAUUAGCCAGAUUUUCCAGCCCUACACCAUCAAUGACAAACCCCCUCCGAAAUCUAGCAAUUAGCAACCUCACUGGC
Non-coding RNA from Podarcis lilfordi (Lilford's wall lizard), 1110 nucleotides. The record is from the annotation of a GenBank genome assembly. NCBI's taxonomy places the organism in Eukaryota, Metazoa, Chordata, Lepidosauria, Squamata, Lacertidae.